RNAcentral lists this ribosomal RNA (443 nucleotides) under uncultured bacterium. RNAcentral's name for it is "partial 16S ribosomal RNA". It matches the Rfam family "Bacterial small subunit ribosomal RNA", at positions 338 to 795 of the family's 1533-position model. The record is from RNAcentral.
CCUACGGGAGGCAGCAGUGGGGAAUAUUGCACAAUGGUCGAAAGCCUGAUGCAGCAACGCCGCGUGAAGGAAGAAGGGUUUCGUCUCGUAAACUUCUAUCAACAGGGACGAAAGAAAUGACGGUACCUGAAUAAUAAGCCCCGGCUAACUACGUGCCAGCAGCCGCGGUAAUACGGAGGGGGCAAGCGUUAUCCGGAAUUACUGGGUGUAAAGGGUGAGUAGGCGGCAUGGUAAGCCAGAUGUGAAAGCCUUGGGCUUAACCCGAGGAUUGCAUUUGGAACUAUCAAGCUAGAGGACAGGAGAGGAAAGCGGAAUUCCUAGUGUAGCGGUGAAAUGCGUAGAUAUUAGGAAGAACACCGGUUGCGAAGGCGGCUUUCUGGACUGAAACUGACGCUGAGGCACGAAAGCGUGGGGAGCGAACAGGAUUAGAUACCCCUGUAGUC